RNAcentral lists this ribosomal RNA (497 nucleotides) under uncultured bacterium. Its description in RNAcentral is "partial 16S ribosomal RNA". It matches the Rfam family "Bacterial small subunit ribosomal RNA", at positions 28 to 507 of the family's 1533-position model. The record is from RNAcentral.
GAUGAACGCUGGCGGCGUGCCUAAUACAUGCAAGUCGAGCGAACAGACAAGGAGCUUGUGCCUUUGACGUUAGCGGCGGACGGGUGAGUAACACGUGGAUAACCUACCUCUAAGUCGUGGAUAACUUCGGGAAACCAGUGCUAAUACCACAUAAUACAUUGAACCGCAUGGUUCAAUAGUUAAAGGCGCCUUUGCCGUUUCUAAGAGAUGAUUCCGGGUCGGAUAAUUUGGUUGGUAAGGUAACGGCUAACCAAGGCAACGUAGCGUGGCUGACCGGAGGGGGUGAUCGGCCACACUGGAACUGAGACACGGUCCAGACUCCUACGGGAGGCAGCAGUAGGGAAUCUUGGGCAAUGGGCGAAAGCCUGACGGAGCAACACCGCGUGGGUGAUGAAGGUCUUCGGGUCGUAAAGCCCUUUUGUUGGGAAAGAACAAAAGUGGAAUUAAAUGCGCACGUCUUGACGGUACCUAAUCAGAAAGCAACGGCUAACUACGUG